GACGAACGCUGGCGGCGUGCCUAACACAUGCAAGUCGAACGGAGUUUAUGGAAGGGUAACCGGAAGUAAACUUAGUGGCGAACGGGUGAGUAACGCGUGAACAAUCUGCCUUCCAGAGGGGGAUAACGUUGGGAAACUGACGCUAAUACCGCAUAAGACCACAAUGCCGCAUGACGAAGAGGUCAAAGGAGCAAUCCGCUGGAAGAUGAGUUCGCGUCCCAUUAGGUAGUUGGUGAGGUAACGGCCCACCAAGCCGACGAUGGGUAGCCGAGCUGAGAGGCUGAUCGGCCACACUGGAACUGAGACACGGUCCAGACUCCUACGGGAGGCAGCAGUGGGGAAUAUUGGGCAAUGGGGGAAACCCUGACCCAGCAACGCCGCGUGAGGGAAGAAGGUUUUCGGAUUGUAAACCUCUGUCGCAGGGGACGAAGAAUGACGGUACCCUGUAAGAAAGCCCCGGCUAACUACGUG
RNAcentral lists this ribosomal RNA (471 nucleotides) under uncultured bacterium. Its description in RNAcentral is "bacterial SSU rRNA". It matches the Rfam family "Bacterial small subunit ribosomal RNA", at positions 28 to 507 of the family's 1533-position model. The record is from RNAcentral.